AACCUUAUGGACCUGCGGGCGUAUACCUGCGGAGGGAUCAUUACAGAGUUAUCCAACUCCCAAACCCAUGUGAACUUAUCCCUUUGUUGCCUCGGCGCAAGCUACCCGGGACCCCGCGCCCCGGGCGGCCCGCCGGCGGACAAACCAAAACUCUUGUUAUCUUAGUUGAUUCUCUGAGCGUCUUAUUUAAUAAGUCAAAACUUUCAACAACGGAUCU
Molecule: unclassified non-coding RNA, 217 nt
Filed under: soil metagenome
Description: partial contains 5.8S ribosomal RNA, internal transcribed spacer 2, and large subunit ribosomal RNA
Source: RNAcentral